AGGUCACGGCGAGACGAGCCGUUUAUUAGAACUAUAGGCGCCAAGUGGAAGUGCAGUAAUGUACGCAGCUGAGGCGUCCUAACAGACCGAGAGAUUUGAAC
This 101-nucleotide ribosomal RNA is filed under the name Megaloselaginella exaltata. RNAcentral's name for it is "4.5S ribosomal RNA". The record is from RNAcentral. Lineage: Eukaryota; Viridiplantae; Streptophyta; Lycopodiopsida; Selaginellales; Selaginellaceae.